AGGACGAACGCUGGCGGCGUGCUUAACACAUGCAAGUCGAACGGUGAACCGGGCUUCGGCCCGGGGAUCAGUGGCGAACGGGUGCGUAACACGUGGGCAACCUGCCCCAGACACUGGGAUAACUCCGGGAAACCGGGGCUAAUACCGGAUACUCAGGUCGAACCUCAUGGUUCGAUCGGGAAAGCUCCGACGGUCUGGGAUGGGCCCGCGGCCUAUCAGCUUGUUGGCGAGGUAACGGCUCACCAAGGCGACGACGGGUAGCCGGCCUGAGAGGGCGACCGGCCACGACUGGGACUGAGACACGGCCCAGACUCCUACGGGAGGCAGCAGUGGGGAAUAUUGCGCAAUGGGCGGAAGCCUGACGCAGCGACGCCGCGUGGGGGAUGACGGCCUUCGGGUUGUAAACCUCUUUCGUCAUCGACGAAGCCCUUCGGGUGACGGUAGGUGGAGGAAGAAGCACCGGCCAACUACGUGCCAGCAGCCGC
Molecule: ribosomal RNA, 485 nt
Filed under: uncultured bacterium
Lineage: Bacteria
Description: SSU rRNA
Rfam family: Bacterial small subunit ribosomal RNA
Source: RNAcentral